GACGAACGCUGGCGGCGUGCUUAACACAUGCAAGUCGAACGGAAAGGCCCUGCUUUUGUGGGGUGCUCGAGUGGCGAACGGGUGAGUAACACGUGAGUAACCUGCCCUUGACUUUGGGAUAACUUCAGGAAACUGGGGCUAAUACCGGAUAGGAGCUCCUGCUGCAUGGUGUGGGUUGGAAAGUUUCGGCGGUUGGGGAUGGACUCGCGGCUUAUCAGCUUGUUGGUGGGGUAGUGGCUUACCAAGGCUUUGACGGGUAGCCGGCCUGAGAGGGGGACCGGCCACAUUGGGACUGAGAUACGGCCCAGACUCCUACGGGAGGCAGCAGUCGGGAAUAUUGCACAAUGGGCGGAAGCCUGAUGCAGCAACGCCGCGUGCGGGAUGACGGCCUUCGGGUGGUAAACCGCUUUCGCCUGUGACGAAGCGUGAGUGACGGUAAUGGGUAAAGAAGCACCGGCUAACUACGUG
RNAcentral lists this ribosomal RNA (468 nucleotides) under uncultured bacterium. RNAcentral's name for it is "partial 16S ribosomal RNA". It matches the Rfam family "Bacterial small subunit ribosomal RNA", at positions 28 to 507 of the family's 1533-position model. The record is from RNAcentral.